AUGAGCACCAGCAGGCAAAACACUCAUAACAAUCACAUUAUUAGCUUCUAUACCAUAGUAAAGCAUUCUCCUAAAAUAAAGAAUGUACUCCCUAUACUUCUCAUUAUUAACGCAAGCCAAAAACCAUCGCGCUCCACAAUACCACAUCCUUAAUGCAGUAUCUUAUCAAAUAACUUCCACGCAAUUCCAAUAUCAAAUAUGGAAUAAAAGCCAAGAAGUGUAAAU
RNAcentral lists this unclassified non-coding RNA (225 nucleotides) under Hevea brasiliensis (rubber tree). Lineage: Eukaryota; Viridiplantae; Streptophyta; Magnoliopsida; Malpighiales; Euphorbiaceae. The record is from RNAcentral.